Molecule: ribosomal RNA, 358 nt
Filed under: uncultured Fusibacter sp.
Lineage: Bacteria; Bacillati; Bacillota; Clostridia; Eubacteriales; Fusibacteraceae
Description: bacterial SSU rRNA
Rfam family: Bacterial small subunit ribosomal RNA
Source: RNAcentral
CAAUUGAGACAGGUGGUGCAUGGUUGUCGUCAGCUCGUGUCGUGAGAUGUUGGGUUAAGUCCCGCAACGAGCGCAACCCUUGUGUUUUAGUUGCAAACAGGUCAAGCUGUGCACUCUAGACAGACUGCCGUGGACAACACGGAGGAAGGUGGGGAUGACGUCAAAUCAUCAUGCCCCUUAUGAUCUGGGCUACACACGUGCUACAAUGGCCGGUACAACGGGCAGCGAAGGAGCGAUCCGGAGCGAAUCCUAAAAAGCCGGUCCCAGUUCGGAUUGCAGGCUGAAACUCGCCUACAUGAAGUUGGAGUUGCUAGUAAUCGCGAAUCAGAAUGUCGCGGUGAAUGCGUUCCCGGGUCUU